RNAcentral lists this ribosomal RNA (223 nucleotides) under uncultured bacterium. RNAcentral describes it as "partial 16S ribosomal RNA". It matches the Rfam family "Bacterial small subunit ribosomal RNA", at positions 116 to 334 of the family's 1533-position model. The record is from RNAcentral.
CGUAGGUAACCUGCCUGGUAGCGGGGGAUAACUAUUGGAAACGAUAGCUAAUACCGCAUAACAUUGACUAUUGCAUGAUAGUCAAUUGAAAGGUGCAAAUGCACCACUACCAGAUGGACCUGCGUUGUAUUAGCUAGUUGGUGGGGUAACGGCUCACCAAGGUGACGAUACAUAGCCGACCUGAGAGGGUGAUCGGCCACACUGGGACUGAGACACGGCCCAG